Molecule: ribosomal RNA, 440 nt
Filed under: uncultured bacterium
Lineage: Bacteria
Description: partial 16S ribosomal RNA
Rfam family: Bacterial small subunit ribosomal RNA
Source: RNAcentral
CCUACGGGUGGCAGCAGUGGGGAAUAUUGCACAAUGGGGGAAACCCUGAUGCAGCGACGCCGCGUGAGUGAAGAAGUACUUCGGUACGUAAAGCUCUAUCAGCAGGGAAGAAAAUGACGGUACCUGACUAAGAAGCCCCGGCCAACUACGUUCCAGCAGCCGCGGUAAUACGUAGGGGGCAAGCGUUAUCCGGAUUUACUGGGUGUAAAGGGGGCGUAGACGGCAGCGCAAGUCUGGAGUGAAAUUCCAAGGCUUAAACGCGGAAGUGGAUUUGGAACUGUGCAAGUUGAGUGCAGGGGGGGGAAGCGGAAUUCCUAGUGUAGCGGUGAAAUGCGUAGAUAUUAGGAGGAACACCAGUGGCGAAGGCGGCUUACUGGACUGUAACUGACGUUGAGGCUCGAAAGCGUGGGGAGCAAACAGGAUUAGAUACCCGAGUAGUC